UAACAGGAAGCAGCUUGCUGCUUUGCUGACGAGUGGCGGACGGGUGAGUAAUGUCUGGGAAACUGCCUGAUGGAGGGGGAUAACUACUGGAAACGGUGGCUAAUACCGCAUAACGUCGCAAGACCAAAGAGGGGGACCUUCGGGCCUCUUGCCAUCAGAUGUGCCCAGAUGGGAUUAGCUAGUUGGUGAGGUAACGGCUCACCAAGGCGACGAUCCCUAGCUGGUCUGAGAGGAUGACCAGCCACACUGGAACUGAGACACGGUCCAGACUCCUACGGGAGGCAGCAGUGGGGAAUAUUGCACAAUGGGCGCAAGCCUGAUGCAGCCAUGCCGCGUGUAUGAAGAAGGCCUUCGGGUUGUAAAGUACUUUCAGCGGGGAGGAAGGUGUUGUGGUUAAUAACCGCAGCAAUUGACGUUACCCGCAGAAGAAGCACCGGCUAACUCCGUGCCAGCAGCCGCGGUAAUACGGAGGGUGCAAGCGUUAAUCGGAAUUACUGGGCGUAAAGCGCACGCAGGCGGUCUGUCAAGUCGGAUGUGAAAUCCCCGGGCUCAACCUGGGAACUGCAUUCGAAACUGGCAGGCUUGAGUCUUGUAGAGGGGGGUAGAAUUCCAGGUGUAGCGGUGAAAUGCGUAGAGAUCUGGAGGAAUACCGGUGGCGAAGGCGGCCCCCUGGACAAAGACUGACGCUCAGGUGCGAAAGCGUGGGGAGCAAACAGGAUUAGAUACCCUGGUAGUCCACGCCGUAAACGAUGUCUACUUGGAGGUUGUGCCCUUGAGGCGUGGCUUCCGGAGCUAACGCGUUAAGUAGACCGCCUGGGGAGUACGGCCGCAAGGUUAAAACUCAAAUGAAUUGACGGGGGCCCGCACAAGCGGUGGAGCAUGUGGUUUAAUUCGAUGCAACGCGAAGAACCUUACCUGGUCUUGACAUCCACAGAAGAAUCCAGAGAUGGAUUUGUGCCUUCGGGAACUGUGAGACAGGUGCUGCAUGGCUGUCGUCAGCUCGUGUUGUGAAAUGUUGGGUUAAGUCCCGCAACGAGCGCAACCCUUAUCCUUUGUUGCCAGCGGUCCGGCCGGGAACUCAAAGGAGACUGCCAGUGAUAAACUGGAGGAAGGUGGGGAUGACGUCAAGUCAUCAUGGCCCUUACGACCAGGGCUACACACGUGCUACAAUGGCGCAUACAAAGAGAAGCGACCUCGCGAGAGCAAGCGGACCUCAUAAAGUGCGUCGUAGUCCGGAUUGGAGUCUGCAACUCGACUCCAUGAAGUCGGAAUCGCUAGUAAUCGUGGAUCAGAAUGCCACGGUGAAUACGUUCCCGGGCCUUGUACACACCGCCCGUCACACCAUGGGAGUGGGUUGCAAAAGAAGUAGGUAGCUUAACCUUCGGGAGGGCGCUUACCACUUUGUGAUUCAUGACUGGGGUGAAGUCGUAACAAGGUAACCGUAGGGGAACCUGCGGUUGGAUCACCUCCUUACCUUAAAGAA
RNAcentral lists this ribosomal RNA (1483 nucleotides) under Salmonella enterica. Its description in RNAcentral is "bacterial SSU rRNA". It matches the Rfam family "Bacterial small subunit ribosomal RNA". Lineage: Bacteria; Pseudomonadati; Pseudomonadota; Gammaproteobacteria; Enterobacterales; Enterobacteriaceae. The record is from RNAcentral.